UAAUCUGAAGAUGUACACGUAUUGGGACACCCCUCCAUCAGCUUCUUCUUAUCCGUUUUCUCCAUUCCUUCUCCCUCAGCUCUAAGAACAAGUUAAAGAAGAAAAAGGCUUGGAGAAGUGAUGUUGGCAGGUUUUGACCUUUGGGCUUGAUAGAGCUGCCGAGUUAGGGCUGUAGCUGAGGAAGCGUUGGAACUGAAGUUCAGGUUGUUGGAGCUGAGAGUAACCAGAGGGAUCAUCAAAUUAAGCCCUAAGGGCAAGCUUAGGGAGAAAAGCUUGAUAGAGUUGGAUUCUUCCUUGUGUUGAAGCUGAGGGAAGUGGCCGAGAAGCAAGCUUGCGCUAUUUGUAUGCAGGAAAGCUAAGAGGAAAGUGUGAAGAGAGGGGAUGUUGCAGGGCUGCUGCCUUUUUGAACUUGUGGGCCCGAAUUGAAGAGGGAGACUGAAGGGUGCUUUGAAUUAGGAGCUGUGAAGGAGAAAUUAAAGUGUAGAAUUGGUGUUGAGCUGAGAAGAAAAAGUUGCUGCCUUGAGUGAAUUUCUUUGGUGCUCCGAGCUGAAAAGAAGACUACAGAAACUGACAGUAACUAAGUUGAGCAUUGAGAUUGAGCGUGCUCGGAAGUUCGAAGUCACAUUCCGGCAGACUUGUGGCGCACUAAUUACGGUAGAAGCCAUUUUAGCUUUAGUUGCAACGAGUCGCGAGAGAUCAUUGUUGACAUAGUUUGAGACGUUGAUUCUAGCUAUUGGCAUCCCUACAGGUUUCAGCUCAUGCAGGGUGAUCGAGGAUCGUGGUAUGGACAGCGUUCCAUAGAUAGUGGACAUCCACUGGGUAUAGUUGUACCUUAUCUAUUUCAUCUGUUUAUAAUUGAUCUAAACAAAUGUAAAAUUAUUUAUUGAGAAAUGGCAAUGUAUAUAUUGGAAGAAUGAAUGUAAUAAUUAUGUAAGCUAUGUAAAAUUAUUUAUUGAGAAAUGGCAAUGUAUAUAUUGGAAGAAUGAAUGUAAUAAUUAUGUAAGCUUUGUAUUUGAUUUAAAGUAAUCAAGAUACAAUAUAUGAAUGCUUUAGUUAGUU
Molecule: long non-coding RNA, 1059 nt
Organism: Ananas comosus (pineapple)
Lineage: Eukaryota; Viridiplantae; Streptophyta; Magnoliopsida; Poales; Bromeliaceae
Exons: 4
Source: RefSeq, a predicted model, not a curated record